GAUGAACGCUGGCGGCGUGCCUAAUACAUGCAAGUCGAGCGAACAGACGAGGAGCUUGCUCCUCUGACGUUAGCGGCGGACGGGUGAGUAACACGUGGAUAACCUACCUAUCAGACUGGGAUAACUUCGGGAAACCGGAGCUAAUACCGGAUAAUAUAUUGAACCGCAUGGUUCAAUAGUGAAAGACGGUUUUGCUGUCACUUAUAGAUGGAUCCGCGCCGCAUUAGCUAGUUGUUAAGGUAACGGCUUACCAAGGCAACGAUGCGUAGCCGAACUGAGAGAGUGAUAGGCCACACUGGAGCUGAGACACGGUCCAGACUCCUACGGGAGGCAGCAGUAGGGAACCGUCCGCAAUGGGCGAAAGCCUGACGGAGCAACGCCGCGUGAGUGAUGAAGGUCUUCGGAUCGUAAAACUCUGUUAUUAGGGAAGAACAAAUGUGUAAGUAACUAUGCACGUCUUGACGGUACCUAAUCAGAAAGCCACGGCUAACUACGUG
Molecule: ribosomal RNA, 497 nt
Filed under: uncultured bacterium
Lineage: Bacteria
Description: partial 16S ribosomal RNA
Rfam family: Bacterial small subunit ribosomal RNA
Source: RNAcentral